AGUGAUACACUGUUACUAUGAGUUUUCUACUUUUGCGUUGCCAAAAUGCUGGAUAGUAAUUGUACUUUCUGAUGCACAAAUUGAGGAAGAGACAAGCCUGAGCUGUGUUAGGUGAGAGAUUCCCCACAAGUGAUAGAGUCUAUAGAAUAGAGAUAAAUGGCCUGCACAAAAGGAUGGGGCUGGACUCAAACCCACUGCUGUAAGGACUCAGGCUUGACACAUGGCACACACUCUAAACAGAAGCAGUGUCUCUGUGUCAGUUGCUCUAUGUCAGUGCUUAAGUUGAGAGGAUGGGAAAGCAGAGAAAACUAACUUCUUCAGCACAAAUUUGUGGGGUUUUUUUUGUUUUUUUCCAGACCUUUGUCGAAUCUAUGCUAUUUCAUUGUGAAUUACUCAACAGUUAUAUACAUUUACCGAUCUACCCCCAUUUUCAACUGGCCGGCCACCUUCCCACGUCACGUGGUUCCACCGUCAAUCGUCAGCUUGUCCAGCUGAUUGUGGGAGCUGAUAAAAGUUGCCUCCUGGAAAUGCCAGAGGCGGCUGAGAUUUCAACUGAGCAGUCCUCCUAUGUUGCCUCUUGCUCUCAAGAUAACUGAACAAUCACUGCAGAGCCCUUGCCACCCCCAACAUCCAAUCAGAUGUGAGACAGGUGAACUCAGCAUGGCACCUUGUCAGACAGUCUCCCCCACAGUCUGGAACCACUGGAGAUAGUGUAGGUGGAGGGAAUGUGUAUGUGUGUUUCCUGAAUACCUUCAGGGACCGUGGUGCAUUGGGAUGAACAGGAGCAAUGUGUGUGUGUGUGUGUGUGUGUGUGUGUAGUUUGUGCAGUGUGUAUUAUCUCUCGCAUGGAUGACUCAGGGCAAUCAAGAGUAAAUGCGUGAGUGUGAUUUUCUUGCUCCGAUGGGAAUUUCCCAGCUUGCCAUCUGAUGGUCAGUGUGGCUCAUUCUCUGGAUACCUGUGAAUUGGUAGCGAAUUGCUUUGAAAUAAACCAAAUAUCUUUCCACGCCAA
Long non-coding RNA from Micropterus dolomieu (smallmouth bass), 1009 nucleotides. RefSeq lists it as uncharacterized. The transcript has 4 exons. Lineage: Eukaryota; Metazoa; Chordata; Actinopteri; Centrarchiformes; Centrarchidae. The record is from RefSeq and is a predicted model, not a curated record.